GCCUGGGUGGCUCAGUCAGUUGAGCAGCUGACUUCGGCUCAGGUCAUGAUCUCGCAGUUCAUGGGUUCGAGCCCCACGUCGGGCU
Molecule: non-coding RNA, 85 nt
Organism: Felis catus (domestic cat)
Lineage: Eukaryota; Metazoa; Chordata; Mammalia; Carnivora; Felidae
Source: Rfam